GAUGAACGCUAGCGGCGUGCCUAAUACAUGCAAGUCGAGCGAACAGACGAGGAGCUUGCUCCUCUGACGUUAGCGGCGGACGGGUGAGUAACACGUGGAUAACCUACCUAUAAGACUGGGAUAACUUCGGGAAACCGGAGCUAAUACCGGAUAAUAUAUUGAACCGCAUGGUUCAAUAGUGAAAGACGGUAUUGCUGUCACUUAUAGAUGGAUCCGCGCCGCAUUAGCUAGUUGGUAAGGUAACGGCUUACCAAGGCGACGAUGCGUAGCCGACCUGAGAGGGUGAUCGGCCACACUGGAACUGAGACACGGUCCAGACUCCUACGGGAGGCAGCAGUAGGGAAUCUUCCGCAAUGGGCGAAAGCCUGACGGAGCAACGCCGCGUGAGUGAUGAAGGUCUUCGGAUCGUAAAACUCUGUUAUUAGGGAAGAACAAAUGUGUAAGUAACUAUGCACGUCUUGACGGUACCUAAUCAGAAAGCCACGGCUAACUACGUG
RNAcentral lists this ribosomal RNA (497 nucleotides) under uncultured bacterium. RNAcentral's name for it is "partial 16S ribosomal RNA". It matches the Rfam family "Bacterial small subunit ribosomal RNA", at positions 28 to 507 of the family's 1533-position model. The record is from RNAcentral.